This 503-nucleotide ribosomal RNA is filed under the name uncultured bacterium. RNAcentral describes it as "bacterial SSU rRNA". It matches the Rfam family "Bacterial small subunit ribosomal RNA", at positions 32 to 508 of the family's 1533-position model. The record is from RNAcentral.
AAUCAACGCUGGCGGCGUGCCUAACACAUGCAAGUCGAACGCGAAAGCCCUUUCGGGGGUAAGUAGAGUGGCGUCCGGGUGAGUAACACGUGGGUAAUCUGCCUCCGGGUGGGGAAUAACUCGCCGAAAGGUGAGCUAAUACCGCAUAAUGCAGCGGCACCAAAUGGUGAUUAGUUGUUAAAGCGGGGGACCCUUCGGGGCCUCGCGCCUGGAGAGGAGCCUGCGGCAGAUUAGCUAGUUGGUGAGGUAAUGGCUCACCAAGGCUUCGAUCUGUAGCUGGUCUGAGAGGACGGCCAGCCACACUGGCACUGACACACGGGCCAGACUCCUACGGGAGGCAGCAGUGGGGAAUUUUGGGCAAUGGGCGCAAGCCUGACCCAGCAACGCCGCGUGAGGGAGGAAAUCCUUCGGGAUGUAAACCUCACAAGCAAGGGAAGAGCGCUACAGGUCGAAUAAGCCUGUAGUCCGACGGUACCUUGCGUAAGCCACGGCUAACUACGUGC